RNAcentral lists this ribosomal RNA (460 nucleotides) under uncultured bacterium. RNAcentral's name for it is "partial 16S ribosomal RNA". It matches the Rfam family "Bacterial small subunit ribosomal RNA", at positions 338 to 795 of the family's 1533-position model. The record is from RNAcentral.
CCUACGUGUGGCAGCAGUGGGGAAUAUUGGUCAAUGGGCGUAAGCCUGAAGCAGCGAAGUCGCGUGAGGGAUAAAGGUUCUCUGAAUCGUAAACUUCUUUUGUAAGGUAAUACGGUGUGUGACGUGUCCUAUUUUGUAUGUACCUUAUGUAUAAGGAUCGGAUAACUCCGUGCCAGCAGCCGCGGUACUACGGAGGGUCCGAGCGUUAUCCGGAUUUACUGUGUUUAAAGUGUGCGUAGGCGGGCUUUUAAGUCAGCGGUGAAAUUCCCUGGCUCAACCAUAGAAUUGCCGUUGAAACUGGGGGGCUUGAGUAUGUGUGAGGCAGGCGGAAUGCGUGGUGUAGCGGUGAAAUGCUUAGAUAUCACGAAGAACCUCGAUUGCGAAGGCAGCUAGCCAAGCCAUGACUGACGCUGAUGCACGAAAGCGUGGGGAUCAAACAGGAUUAGAUACCCUAGUAGUC